CCCCCCCCACAUCCCCCCUCCCACACCCCGUACACACGCGCACCGCCCCCCCCACAUCCCCCCUCCCACACGCCGGGAGACGUGUUGGUGGCUUUGAGGGCCAGUUGAGAGAGAAGCCACUGGGCUGGGCAGGAGCUGGGCCUGCUGGGCUCUGCCCGUCCUUGACCCUGGGCUCAGCCUGGCUUUGGGUUUGGACGUGAGGACGGACAGAAGAGGGACAGGAAAGCCCAGCAGCCGCUCUGACCUGAGCUGGCCCGAGGGACCAGGAAGAGUUUGUGAUGUGGCUCAAACUGCCUGGGCCACCCCAGCCCCACUUGGGGGGGUGGGCAGCAUCUCUGGGAGGCCCCGCCCUUCUCUGUGGGUGGGGAAGGACCACCCUCCUGGGCGGAUGGGAGAGAGUGUGCCCUACUCAGGACCCAUUCAAGAGCCUCACUGGGAGUUCCCAGCUCGGUGGGUUAAGGCUGGUCCCUCAUUUCCAGCAGAAAACUGUUUUCCUGGACUGUCUUUUUCUUGGCUUACGGAUUUGUGACUGCACUUUCCCAAGAAGUGUUGAAGCUCGGCUCACAUUUUUGUGUGGAGAACCAGCUAACCCCUUCCUCAAAGUUUUUGUGAGGAAAAGUAAUUUAAAUGUUUGAAAAAGAGUUGUAACCUGGUAAAGUGCCUCCGAAGGCUGCUGAGUGCCUCAGAGAGCAGGUACCGCGUGCUUGCUGCGUGUGGGUGUUCGGGCCAGGUACUUUGGGGUUAUGUGUGUCAACGUGACCUGGUCCCUACCUGCCAUCACCUGGGGGGGGGGCUGUGAACAAUUCCUGUCAGUGUUGAUAGGAGACAGUGAGACUGUGCCAUCAACGGUAGUCUCCGUGACCCUGGACCCUCAGAACAAGCCUGCGAAGUAGGUACUAUCAUAUUACCUUCUAUGAGUAUCCCCAUUUAACAGAUGAGAAACUGAGGCCCAGAGGGAUGAAGUAGCUUGUCCAGGAUCAAAUACAUAGCAAAUACUGGAACUGGGAUUUGCAGCUGGCAAUUGAGAAGGAGGCUGGAAUCCAGAGAAGAGGGUUCUGGAGUUCAGAGGGGAGUCCAGCUUCCCACGGGGGGUGGGGGGGGAGGAAGGUGACCUGGGGUGGGUGCAGGCCAGAGCGGGGAACGUGUUUCCUAGGCAGCCUGCAGGGAAGACUGAAAAUGCCCCAUGUUUGGGGGUGGGGGAGACGCUGAUGAGAGUCUGGGGAGCACAGGAGGGGCACAGGGAGAGGUGGAGAUGUGGCACUCAACUGGGGCUCCCGGGGACUUUUUUUUUGGCCACCCGCAGCAUAUGGAGUUCUGGGCCAGGGAUUAGAUCCCAGUUGCAGGUGCCACCUAGCCUGCAGCUGUGGCAAUGCCAGCUCCUUAAUCCACCGUGCCGGGCUGGGGUUCAAAUCUGCGUCCCAGUGCUCCUAAGACACUGCCGAUCCCAUUGCACCGCAGGGUUUGACUUUUAAUGCAGGGGUGACAGAUGGCUGGUCUGUCCACAUGCUGUCACAUGGGCAGCUCCUACGGGUCACCAGCACCCUUCCUCCGUUUCUUCAAGGGACAAAGCGACUUUGCUCUAGAGCAGAACACUGAUCGUCCCACACAUAUGUCCCUACUUUUGUUGCUGUCGCUGUGAGGUUUUUAAACUGGAGACCAUUUCACUUUCACACACCAACCACAAUGUCGAAUAAAUUGGUUGAACUUGUAGAUUUAUAUCCGCA
RNAcentral lists this long non-coding RNA (1724 nucleotides) under Sus scrofa (pig). RNAcentral's name for it is "lncRNA (ENSSSCG00035069718.1)". Lineage: Eukaryota; Metazoa; Chordata; Mammalia; Artiodactyla; Suidae. The record is from RNAcentral.